ACUCCCUCUGGCAGCACAGACUCUAAAUUUGGAGCAAUACAGAGAAAAUUAGCAUGGAUGUUGUGCAAGGAUGACAUGAAAAUUCAUGAAGUGUUCCAGAAUUUU
Molecule: small nuclear RNA, 105 nt
Organism: Mastomys coucha (southern multimammate mouse)
Lineage: Eukaryota; Metazoa; Chordata; Mammalia; Rodentia; Muridae
Source: RefSeq, a predicted model, not a curated record